RNAcentral lists this transfer RNA (67 nucleotides) under Coendou insidiosus. Its description in RNAcentral is "tRNA-Ile". The record is from RNAcentral. Lineage: Eukaryota; Metazoa; Chordata; Mammalia; Rodentia; Erethizontidae.
AGAAAUAUGUCUGACAAAAGAGUUACUUUGAUAGAGUAAAACAUAGGGGUUAUACCCCUUAUUUCUA